UUAAGCGACUAAGCGUACACGGUGGAUGCCCUGGCAGUCAGAGGCGAUGAAGGACGUGCUAAUCUGCGAAAAGCGCCGGCGAGGUGAUAUGAACCCUUGACCCGGCGAUGUCCGAAUGGGGAAACCCAGUGCAAUCCGUUGCACUAUCGUUAACUGAAUACAUAGGUUAACGAGGCGAACCGGGGGAACUGAAACAUCUAAGUACCCCGAGGAAAAGAAAUCAACCGAGAUUCCCCCAGUAGCGGCGAGCGAACGGGGAGCAGCCCGGAGUCUGAAUCAGCUUGUGUGUUAGUGGAACGGUCUGGAAAGUCCGACGGUACAGGGUGAUAGUCCCGUACACGAAAGCACACUUGCUGUGAACUCGAAGAGUAGGGCGGGACACGUGGUAUCCUGUCUGAAUAUGGGGGGACCAUCCUCCAAGGCUAAAUACUCCUGACUGACCGAUAGUGAACCAGUACCGUGAGGGAAAGGCGAAAAGAACCCCGGCGAGGGGAGUGAAAAAGAACCUGAAACCGUGUACGUACAAGCAGUGGGAGCCUCUUUAUGGGGUGACUGCGUACCUUUUGUAUAAUGGGUCAGCGACUUAUAUUCUGUAGCAAGGUUAACCGUAUAGGGGAGCCGAAGGGAAACCGAGUCUUAACUGGGCGUUAAGUUGCAGGGUAUAGACCCGAAACCCGGUGAUCUAGCCAUGGGCAGGUUGAAGGUUGGGUAACACUAACUGGAGGACCGAACCGACUAAUGUUGAAAAAUUAGCGGAUGACCUGUGGCUGGGGGUGAAAGGCCAAUCAAACCGGGAGAUAGCUGGUUCUCCCCGAAAGCUAUUUAGGUAGCGCCUCGUGAACUCAUCUUCGGGGGUAGAGCACUGUUUCGGCUAGGGGGCCAUCCCGGCUUACCAACCCGAUGCAAACUACGAAUACCGAAGAAUGUUAUCACGGGAGACACACGGCGGGUGCUAACGUCCGUCGUGAAGAGGGAAACAACCCAGACCGCCAGCUAAGGUCCCAAAGUCAUGGUUAAGUGGGAAACGAUGUGGGAAGGCACAGACAGCCAGGAUGUUGGCUUAGAAGCAGCCAUCAUUUAAAGAAAGCGUAAUAGCUCACUGGUCGAGUCGGCCUGCGCGGAAGAUGUAACGGGGCUAAACCAUGCACCGAAGCUGCGGCAGCGACACUAUGUGUUGUUGGGUAGGGGAGCGUUCUGUAAGCCGUUGAAGGUGUGCUGUGAGGCAUGCUGGAGGUAUCAGAAGUGCGAAUGCUGACAUAAGUAACGAUAAAGCGGGUGAAAAGCCCGCUCGCCGGAAGACCAAGGGUUCCUGUCCAACGUUAAUCGGGGCAGGGUGAGUCGACCCCUAAGGCGAGGCCGAAAGGCGUAGUCGAUGGGAAACAGGUUAAUAUUCCUGUACUUGGUGUUACUGCGAAGGGGGGACGGAGAAGGCUAUGUCAGCCGGGCGACGGUUGUCCCGGUUUAAGCAUGUAGGCGGAGGUUCCAGGUAAAUCCGGUACCUUUUAACGCUGAGGUGUGAUGACGAGGCACUACGGUGCUGAAGUGAUAAAUGCCCUGCUUCCAGGAAAAGCCUCUAAGCAUCAGGUAACACGAAAUCGUACCCCAAACCGACACAGGUGGUCAGGUAGAGAAUACCAAGGCGCUUGAGAGAACUCGGGUGAAGGAACUAGGCAAAAUGGUGCCGUAACUUCGGGAGAAGGCACGCUGAUGUGUAGGUGAAGCCCCUGCGGGCGGAGCUGAAAUCAGUCGAAGAUACCAGCUGGCUGCAACUGUUUAUUAAAAACACAGCACUGUGCAAACACGAAAGUGGACGUAUACGGUGUGACGCCUGCCCGGUGCCGGAAGGUUAAUUGAUGGGGUUAGCUGUAAGGCGAAGCUCUUGAUCGAAGCCCCGGUAAACGGCGGCCGUAACUAUAACGGUCCUAAGGUAGCGAAAUUCCUUGUCGGGU
This 1949-nucleotide ribosomal RNA is filed under the name human gut metagenome. RNAcentral describes it as "bacterial LSU rRNA". It matches the Rfam family "Bacterial large subunit ribosomal RNA", at positions 1 to 1977 of the family's 2925-position model. The record is from RNAcentral.